This 497-nucleotide ribosomal RNA is filed under the name uncultured bacterium. RNAcentral's name for it is "partial 16S ribosomal RNA". It matches the Rfam family "Bacterial small subunit ribosomal RNA", at positions 28 to 507 of the family's 1533-position model. The record is from RNAcentral.
GAUGAACGCUGGCGGCGUGCCUAAUACAUGCAAGUCGAGCGAACGGACCAGAAUCUUUCUUCUCUGAUGUUAGCGGCGGACGGGUGAGUAACACGUGGAUAACCUACCUAUAAGACUUGGAUAACUUCGUGAAACCGGAGCUAAUACCGGAUAAUAUGUUGAACCGCAUGGUUCAAGAGUGAAUGACGGUCUUGCUGUCACUUAUAGAUGGGUCCGCGCUGCAUUAGCUAGUUGGUAAGGUAACGGCUUACCAAGGCAACGAUGCAUAGCCGAGCUGACAGGGUGAGCCGCCACACUGGAACUGAGACACGGUCCAGACUCCUACGGGGCGCAGCAGUAGGGAAUCUUGCGCAAUGGGCGAAAGCCUGACGGAGCACAGCCGCGUGAGUGAUGAAGGUGUUCGGAUCGUGAAGCUCUGUUAUUAGGGAAGAACAGAUGUGUAAGUAAGUGUGCACAUCUUGACGGUACCUAAUCAGAAAGCCACGGCUAACUACGUG